GACGAACGCUGGCGGCGUGCUUAACACAUGCAAGUCGAACGGAAAGGCCCUGCUUUUGUGGGGUGCUCGAGUGGCGAACGGGUGAGUAACACGUGAGUAACCUGCCCUUCACUUUGGGAUAACUUUGGGAAACUGGGGCUAAUACCGGAUAGGACCUCCUGCUGCAUGGUGUUGUUUGGAGAGUUUCGGCGGGUGAGGAUGUGCUCGCGUCUUAUCAGGUUGUUGGUGUGGUAGUUGCUUACCAAGGCGUCGGCGGGUCGCCGGCCUGGGAGGGUGGACGGCCACAGUGGGACUGAGAUACGGCCCAGACUCCGACGGGAGGCAGCAGUGGGGAAUAUUGCGCAAUGGGCGCAAGCCUGAGGCAGCGGCGCCGCGUGGGGGAUGACGGCCUUCGGGUUGUAAACACCUUUCGCUAGAGACGAAGCGCAAGUGACGGUACCUAGAGAAGAAGCACCGGCUAACUACGUG
This 468-nucleotide ribosomal RNA is filed under the name uncultured bacterium. RNAcentral describes it as "partial 16S ribosomal RNA". It matches the Rfam family "Bacterial small subunit ribosomal RNA", at positions 28 to 507 of the family's 1533-position model. The record is from RNAcentral.